This 119-nucleotide non-coding RNA is filed under the name Chrysemys picta bellii (western painted turtle). Lineage: Eukaryota; Metazoa; Chordata; Testudines; Emydidae. The record is from RNAcentral.
GUGUUGUAUGAAAGGAGAGAAGGUUAGCACUCCCCUUGAUAAGGAUGGAAGAGGUCCUAGUGACCUUUACAACACGCAUAUGGUUAAGGCAUUUUUGUUUAUGCUAAUUCAGUCUGUCU